CUAUUGUCUAAUCUUUAACAUUUGCUUCUAACUAAUUUAAUAGCAACUUCCCACAUUUUUCAUGGAACAUAUAAUUAGAAUUCAUGGUUAAUAUAGAAUAUUUUCAUAUAUCAUUAUUGAUAAUUAGUAUGCUAAAGUCUCACAUGCAUGGCAUCGAUAGUAUGCUAGUUUAUUUAAUAAAGGAUUAUUUGUGAUGGCAAG
Molecule: long non-coding RNA, 201 nt
Filed under: Elaeis guineensis (African oil palm)
Lineage: Eukaryota; Viridiplantae; Streptophyta; Magnoliopsida; Arecales; Arecaceae
Description: long non-coding RNA (EGUI_LNC045211)
Source: RNAcentral